RNAcentral lists this long non-coding RNA (321 nucleotides) under Helianthus annuus (common sunflower). Its description in RNAcentral is "hypothetical non coding rna". The record is from RNAcentral. Lineage: Eukaryota; Viridiplantae; Streptophyta; Magnoliopsida; Asterales; Asteraceae.
UCUUCAUGCAGAUUUCAACGGAACUAUCAUGCAGUUCCAAUGGAUGAAACUUUUAGGUGGAAACAAUACCAUCAGACGCCAGAUUUAUAUGCUUUGCGGGGUGAUGAUGUAUCUAUUGUUUAUGAUGUGAAGAAAGGAGAUUACCAUACCUUAUCAGCCAUAUGCAAUAGGCAGGGUCAAGUUUGAUGCAUUCGAACCAGAAAGAUGGUUUCAUCACAUUGUUGCUUUCAUCCACAAAGCUUCUUUAAGUUUACAGUUUUGCAGAAACACAAGAGGGACAGAGAAUUUGUUUGGCUCAAGAAUUUGCGUAUGUGCAGAUGA